GCGGACAGAAGGGAGCUUGCUCCCGGAUGUUAGCGGCGGACGGGUGAGUAACACGUGGGUAACCUGCCUGUAAGACUGGGAUAACUCCGGGAAACCGGAGCUAAUACCGGAUAGUUCCUUGAACCGCAUGGUUCAAGGAUGAAAGACGGUUUCGGCUGUCACUUACAGAUGGACCCGCGGCGCAUUAGCUAGUUGGUGGGGUAAUGGCUCACCAAGGCGACGAUGCGUAGCCGACCUGAGAGGGUGAUCGGCCACACUGGGACUGAAACACGGCCCAGACUCCUACGGGAGGCAGCAGUAGGGAAUCUUCCGCAAUGGACGAAAGUCUGACGGAGCAACGCCGCGUGAGUGAUGAAGGUUUUCGGAUCGUAAAGCUCUGUUGUUAGGGAAGAACAAGUGCGAGAGUAACUGCUCGCACCUUGACGGUACCUAACCAGAAAGCCACGGCUAACUACGUGCCAGCAGCCGCGGUAAUACGUAGGUGGCAAGCGUUGUCCGGAAUUAUUGGGCGUAAAGGGCUCGCAGGCGGUUUCUUAAGUCUGAUGUGAAAGCCCCCGGCUCAACCGGGGAGGGUCAUUGGAAACUGGGAAACUUGAGUGCAAAAGAGGAGAGUGAAAUUCCACGUGUAGCGGUGAAAUGCGUAGAGAUGUGGGAGGAACACCAGUGGCGAAGGCGACUCUCUGCUCUGUACUGAC
Molecule: ribosomal RNA, 695 nt
Filed under: Bacillus sp. (in: firmicutes)
Lineage: Bacteria; Bacillati; Bacillota; Bacilli; Caryophanales; Bacillaceae
Description: bacterial SSU rRNA
Rfam family: Bacterial small subunit ribosomal RNA
Source: RNAcentral